AUUGAACGCUGGCGGCAGGCCUAACACAUGCAAGUCGAGCGGAUGAAGGGAGCUUGCUCCUGGAUUCAGCGGCGGACGGGUGAGUAAUGCCUAGGAAUCUGCCUGGUAGGGGGGGAUAACGUCCGGAAACGGGCGCUAAUACCGCAUACGUCCUGAGGGAGAAAGUGGGGGAGCUUCGGACCUCACGCCAUCAGAUGAGCCUAGGUCGGAUUAGCUAGUUGGUGGGGUAAAGGCCUACCAAGGCGACGAUCCGUAACUGGUCUGAGAGGAUGAUCAGUCACACUGGAACUGAGACACGGUCCAGACUCCUACGGGAGGCAGCAGUGGGGAAUAUUGGACAAUGGGCGAAAGCCUGAUCCAGCCAUGCCGCGUGUGUGAAGAAGGUCUUCGGAUUGUAAAGCACUUUAAGUUGGGAGGAAGGGCAGUAAGUUAAUACCUUGCUGUUUUGACGGUACCAACAGAAUAAGCACCGGCUAACUUCGUG
Molecule: ribosomal RNA, 484 nt
Filed under: uncultured bacterium
Lineage: Bacteria
Description: partial 16S ribosomal RNA
Rfam family: Bacterial small subunit ribosomal RNA
Source: RNAcentral